This is a long non-coding RNA of Nyctereutes procyonoides (raccoon dog), 324 nucleotides long. RefSeq lists it as uncharacterized. The record is from RefSeq and is a predicted model, not a curated record. The transcript is spliced from 3 exons. Lineage: Eukaryota; Metazoa; Chordata; Mammalia; Carnivora; Canidae.
UGCUUCCACAAAGACUCUCUGGACUCCCACAAAGCCUCUCUCAUCUGUGGAUUAUUGACUAAAAUAGUUUCUCCAGGGGCUCCUGGACCAUGGCUGAGCAGGGCUGGAGCCAGUUCAUGGGCCAUUGGAGGGUCCACAGCCAGAACAAGGUGAAAGAAGAAGACUCCAGGCGGGAGUCCUCCUCACUGACUGAGCCCACAGCACCUGCCACAUCCUUCCUCUAUGACUUGACACUUGGUCCUAAGGGCUUGUUGGCCUGAACCAGAAGCCAGCUGCCAGACUGCUUCACCUCAGAGACCACCAAUCUGGGCCUCAUCUCACCUG